Molecule: ribosomal RNA, 253 nt
Filed under: uncultured bacterium
Lineage: Bacteria
Description: partial 16S ribosomal RNA
Rfam family: Bacterial small subunit ribosomal RNA
Source: RNAcentral
UACGGGGGGGGCAAGCGUUGUUCGGAAUUACUGGGCGUAAAGGGCUCGUAGGUGGCCAACUAAGUCAGACGUGAAAUCCCUCGGCUUAACCGGGGAACUGCGUUUGAAACUACGGAGCUAGAGUGCGGCAGAGGGGGGUGGAAUUCCACGUGUAGCAGUGAAAUGCGUAGAUAUGUGGAGGAACACCGAUGGCGAAGGCAGCCCCCUGGGCCGACACUGACGCUCAGGCACGAAAGCGUGGGGAGCAAACAGG